RNAcentral lists this ribosomal RNA (361 nucleotides) under uncultured Methanosaeta sp. RNAcentral's name for it is "bacterial SSU rRNA". It matches the Rfam family "Archaeal small subunit ribosomal RNA", at positions 981 to 1338 of the family's 1478-position model. The record is from RNAcentral. Lineage: Archaea; Methanobacteriati; Methanobacteriota; Methanomicrobia; Methanotrichales; Methanotrichaceae.
UGAGAGGUGGUGUCGAUGGCCGUCGUCAGUUCGUACUGUGAAGCAUCCUGUUAAGUCAGGCAACGAGCGAGACCCACGUCCACAGUUGCCAGCAUACCCUCCGGGGUGGAUGGGUACACUGUGGAGACCGCCGCUGCUAAAGCGGAGGAAGGAGUGGGCAACGGUAGGUCAGUAUGCCCCGAAUCUCCCGGGCUACACGCGGGCUACAAUGGUUGGUACAAUGGGCAUCUACCCCGAAAGGGGAAGGAAAUCUCUUAAAGCCAAUCGUAGUUCGGAUUGAGGGCUGCAACUCGCCCUCAUGAAGCUGGAAUCCGUAGUAAUCGCGUUUCAACAGAACGCGGUGAAUACGUCCCUGCUCCUU